Molecule: ribosomal RNA, 977 nt
Filed under: marine metagenome
Description: bacterial LSU rRNA
Rfam family: Bacterial large subunit ribosomal RNA
Source: RNAcentral
GGGUGAUCCUAAGCUGCCAAGAAAAGCAUCGACGCGAGGUUCCAGCCGCCCGUACCCCAAACCGACUCAGGUGGUCAGGUAGAGAAUACCAAGGAGAUCGAGAGAAUCGUGGUUAAGGAACUCGGCAAAAUGCCCCCGUAACUUCGGGAGAAGGGGGGCCGGAUUGGUGACGGGAUUUACUCCCUGAGCCUUGAAGGCCGCAGAGACCAGUGGGAAGCGACUGUUUACUAAAAACACAGGUCCGUGCUAAGUCGCAAGACGAUGUAUACGGACUGACGCCUGCCCGGUGCUGGAAGGUUAAGAGGAGCGGUUAGCGUAAGCGAAGCUGCGAAUUUAAGCCCCAGUAAACGGCGGUGGUAACUAUAACCAUCCUAAGGUAGCGAAAUUCCUUGUCGGGUAAGUUCCGACCUGCACGAAUGGCGUAACGACUUCCCAGCUGUCUCAACCGCGAACUCGGCGAAAUUGCACUACGAGUAAAGAUGCUCGUUACGCGCAGCAGGACGGAAAGACCCCGUGACCUUUACUACAGUUUGGUAUUGGUGUUCGGUGUGGCUUGUGUAGGAUAGGUGGGAGACUUUGAAGCGGGCACGCCAGUGUUCGUGGAGUCAUUGUUGAAAUACCACUCUGGUCACUCUGGAUGUCUAACUUAGAACCGUAAUCCGGUUCAGGGACAGUGCCUGAUGGGUAGUUUAACUGGGGCGGUUGCCUCCCAAAAAGUAACGGAGGCGCCCAAAGGUUCCCUCAACCUGGUUGGCAAUCAGGUGUCGAGUGUAAGUGCACAAGGGAGCUUGACUGUGAGAGUGACGGCUCGAGCAGGGACGAAAGUCGGGACUAGUGAUCCGGCAGUGGCUUGUGGAAGCGCUGUCGCUCAACGGAUAAAAGGUACCUCGGGGAUAACAGGCUGAUCUUGCCCAAGAGUCCAUAUCGACGGCAUGGUUUGGCACCUCGAUGUCGGCUCGUCGCAUCCUGGGGCUGGA